Molecule: small nuclear RNA, 135 nt
Organism: Hyaena hyaena (striped hyena)
Lineage: Eukaryota; Metazoa; Chordata; Mammalia; Carnivora; Hyaenidae
Product: U4 spliceosomal RNA
Exons: 1
Source: RefSeq, a predicted model, not a curated record
AGCUUUGCGCAGUGGCAGUAUAGUAGCCAAUGAGGUUUAUCCGAGGCGCGAUUAUUGCUAAUUGAAAACUUUUCCCAAAAGAAAUAACUUCACCAUUAAAAUGCUUUCUUCCAUUUCUUUUUCCUGCUCAAGAAG